GCGCCCAUAGCUCAGUUGGUAGAGCACCUGCCUUUUAAGCAGAGGGUCGCAGGUUCGAAUCCUGCUGGGCGCA
RNAcentral lists this transfer RNA (73 nucleotides) under Candidatus Taylorbacteria bacterium RIFCSPLOWO2_01_FULL_45_15b. Its description in RNAcentral is "tRNA-Lys". It matches the Rfam family "tRNA". Rfam says of the family: Transfer RNA (tRNA) molecules are approximately 80 nucleotides in length. The record is from RNAcentral. Lineage: Bacteria; Candidatus Tayloriibacteriota.